This 707-nucleotide ribosomal RNA is filed under the name uncultured bacterium. RNAcentral describes it as "bacterial SSU rRNA". It matches the Rfam family "Bacterial small subunit ribosomal RNA", at positions 125 to 818 of the family's 1533-position model. The record is from RNAcentral.
CCUGCCCCUAAGUCUGGGAUACCAUUUGGAAACAGGUGCUAAUACCGGAUAAUAAAGCAGAUCGCAUGAUCAGCUUUUGAAAGGCGGCGUAAGCUGUCGCUAAGGGAUGGCCCCGCGGUGCAUUAGCUAGUUGGUAAGGUAACGGCUUACCAAGGCGACGAUGCAUAGCCGAGUUGAGAGACUGAUCGGCCACAUUGGGACUGAGACACGGCCCAAACUCCUACGGGAGGCAGCAGUAGGGAAUCUUCCACAAUGGACGCAAGUCUGAUGGAGCAACGCCGCGUGAGUGAAGAAGGUUUUCGGAUCGUAAAGCUCUGUUGUUGGUGAAGAAGGAUAGAGGUAGUAACUGGCCUUUAUUUGACGGUAAUCAACCAGAAAGUCACGGCUAACUACGUGCCAGCAGCCGCGGUAAUACGUAGGUGGCAAGCGUUGUCCGGAUUUAUUGGGCGUAAAGCGAGCGCAGGCGGAAAAAUAAGUCUAAUGUGAAAGCCCUCGGCUUAACCGAGGAACUGCAUCGGAAACUGUUUUUCUUGAGUGCAGAAGAGGAGAGUGGAACUCCAUGUGUAGCGGUGGAAUGCGUAAAUAUAUGGAAGAACACCAGUGGCGAAGGCGGCUCUCUGGUCUGCAACUGACGCUGAGGCUCGAAAGCAUGGGUAGCGAACAGGAUUAGAUACCCUGGUAGUCCAUGCCGUAAACGAUGAGUGCUA